GACGAACGCUGGCGGCGUGCUUAACACAUGCAAGUCGAACGGAAAGGCCCUGCUUGCAGGGUACUCGAGUGGCGAACGGGUGAGUAACACGUGGGUGAUCUGCCCUGCACUUCGGGAUAAGCCUGGGAAACUGGGUCUAAUACCGGAUAGGAGCCAUCUUUAGUGUGAUGGUUGGAAAGUUUUUUCGGUGUAGGAUGAGCUCGCGGGCUAUCAGCUUGUUGGUGGGGUAAUGGCCUACCAAGGCGGCGACGGGUAGCCGGCCUGAGAGGGUGGACGGCCACAUUGGGACUGAGAUACGGCCCAGACGCCUACGGGAGGCAGCAGUGGGGAAUAUUGCACAAUGGGCGCAAGCCUGAUGCAGCGACGCCGCGUGGGGGAUGACGGCCUUCGGGUUGUAAACUCCUUUCGCUAGGGACGAAGCUUUUUGUGACGGUACCUAGAGAAGAAGCACCGGCUAACUACGUG
This 465-nucleotide ribosomal RNA is filed under the name uncultured bacterium. RNAcentral's name for it is "partial 16S ribosomal RNA". It matches the Rfam family "Bacterial small subunit ribosomal RNA", at positions 28 to 507 of the family's 1533-position model. The record is from RNAcentral.